Pteropus alecto (black flying fox) is the source of this 525-nucleotide long non-coding RNA. RefSeq lists it as uncharacterized. Lineage: Eukaryota; Metazoa; Chordata; Mammalia; Chiroptera; Pteropodidae. The record is from RefSeq and is a predicted model, not a curated record. The transcript is spliced from 3 exons.
ACCCCUAUGUUCACGGUAGCGCUUUUCACAAUAGAGUUUUGGAAUCUUAACUGCCACUUUCACAUAGCCUCAAGCGAGCGAAAUUCCAAUCUCAUAAAUAGCUCAAGGAAUCAGCAAAAGCAAAAAGCCUCGCUUCUUGCCCUGCGGCCAUGACACCAAGCAUUAAAAUAGCAGCAGACCGGCCCCAGUACCCGAGGCACUCCCGGAACACCAGCUCAGCCUAGCUACAGUCACUGGCUGGCCAACAGUUCCAGGUGCCUCAGACCCUUCAGGCGGGAUUCAGGGAUCCACUUGCCUAACCUGGAGAAGGGUAUAGGAAUCCAGAAGAAUUCUCACCCAUGAGGGAAGACGUAUGAGGAUACUCAUGGAAGCAUUGUUAGUAGUACUGGGCUCAGCAGGGAUGGCGCCUCGUUUCUGCUCCAUGUAGCAUACGACGAUAUUCAUCCGGGAGUUAGAUGGGCUGUGACGUCCCUGAUGGCCUGUCAUUCUCCAGGGUCCCUCUCCACCUAGUCGUGAAAUCCGAGC